AUUGAACGCUGGCGGCAUGCUUUACACAUGCAAGUCGAACGGCAGCGCGGGCUUCGGCCUGGCGGCGAGUGGCGAACGGGUGAGUAAUGCAUCGGAACGUGCCCAGUAGUGGGGGAUAGCCCGGCGAAAGCCGGAUUAAUACCGCAUACGACCUGAGGGUGAAAGCGGGGGUCCGAAAGGCCUCGCGCUAUUGGAGCGGCCGAUGUCGGAUUAGCUAGUUGGUGGGGUAAAGGCUUACCAAGGCGACGAUCCGUAGCUGGUCUGAGAGGACGACCAGCCACACUGGGACUGAGACACGGCCCAGACUCCUACGGGAGGCAGCAGUGGGGAAUUUUGGACAAAGGGGGCAACCCUGAUCCAGCCAUGCCGCGUGCGGGAAGAAGGCCUUCGGGUUGUAAACCGCUUUUGUUCGGGAAGAAAUACUCUGGGCUAAUACCCCGGGGGGAUGACGGUACCGGAAGAAUAAGCACCGGCUAACUACGUG
This 484-nucleotide ribosomal RNA is filed under the name uncultured bacterium. RNAcentral's name for it is "partial 16S ribosomal RNA". It matches the Rfam family "Bacterial small subunit ribosomal RNA", at positions 29 to 507 of the family's 1533-position model. The record is from RNAcentral.